Molecule: ribosomal RNA, 244 nt
Filed under: uncultured Glomus
Lineage: Eukaryota; Fungi; Glomeromycota; Glomeromycetes; Glomerales; Glomeraceae
Description: partial 18S ribosomal RNA
Rfam family: Eukaryotic small subunit ribosomal RNA
Source: RNAcentral
AGCAGCCGCGGUAAUUCCAGCUCCAAUAGCGUAUAUUAAAGUUGUUGCAGUUAAAAAGCUCGUAGUUGAAUUUCGGGGUCAGUAGGUCGGUCGUGCCACUGGUAUGAACUGGUUUUACUGAUUCCUCCCUCUUGAAGAACUGUAAUGCCAUUAAUUUGGUGUUGCGGGAAUUUGGACUGUUACUUUAGAAAAAAUUAGAGUGUUUAAAGCAAGCUAACGCUUGAAUACAUUAGCAUGGAAUAAU